AUACGGAGGGUGCAAGCGUUAAUCGGAAUUACUGGGCGUAAAGCGUACGUAGGCGGUGAGUUAAGUUAGAUGUGAAAGCCCCGGGCUCAACCUGGGAACUGCAUUUAAAACUGGCUCACUAGAGUUGACUAGAGGGGAGUGGAAUUUCAGGUGUAGCGGUGAAAUGCGUAGAGAUCUGAAGGAACACCAGUGGCGAAGGCGACUUCCUGGACUCAAACUGACGCUGAGGUACGAAAGCGUGGGUAGCAAACGGAAUUAGAUACCCUUGUAGUCC
RNAcentral lists this ribosomal RNA (274 nucleotides) under uncultured bacterium. Its description in RNAcentral is "partial 16S ribosomal RNA". It matches the Rfam family "Bacterial small subunit ribosomal RNA", at positions 523 to 796 of the family's 1533-position model. The record is from RNAcentral.